Molecule: ribosomal RNA, 1391 nt
Filed under: Scytonema sp. F12
Lineage: Bacteria; Bacillati; Cyanobacteriota; Cyanophyceae; Nostocales; Scytonemataceae
Description: bacterial SSU rRNA
Rfam family: Bacterial small subunit ribosomal RNA
Source: RNAcentral
UGCAAGUCGAACGAACUCUUCGGAGUUAGUGGCGGACGGGUGAGUAACGCGUGAGAAUCUGCCUUCAGGUCUGGGACAACCACUGGAAACGGUGGCUAAUUUUUUACCGGAUGUGCUUCACGGUGAAAGAUUAAUCGCCUGAAGAUGAGCUCGCGUCUGAUUAGCUAGUUGGUGGGGUUUUUAAGAGCCUACCAAGGCGACGAUCAGUAACUGGUCUGAGAGGAUGAUCAGUCACACUGGAACUGAGACACGGUCCAGACUCCUACGGGAGGCAGCAGUGGGGAAUUUUCCGCAAUGGGCGAAAGCCUGACGGAGCAAUACCGCGUGAGGGAGGAAGGCUCUUGGGUUGUAAACCUCUUUUCUCAAGGAAGAAGACAAUGACGGUACUUGAGGAAUAAGCAUCGGCUAACUCCCCCCGUGCCAGCAGCCGCGGUAAUAAAAACGGAGGAUGCAAGCGUUAUCCGGAAUGAUUGGGCGUAAAGCGUCCGCAGGUGGUUUUGUAAGUCUGCUGUUAAAGCGUCAUGCUCAACAUGAUAAAGGCAGUGGAAACUUUUUUUACUCAACUCGAGUGCGUUCGGGGCAGAGGGAAUUCCUGGUGUAGCGGUGAAAUGCGUAGAGAUCAGGAAGAACACCGGUGGCGAAAGCGCUCUGCUAGGCCGCAACUGACACUGAGGGACGGGGAAAGCUAGGGGAGCGAAUGGGAUUAGAUACCCCAGUAGUCCUAGCCCCCCCGUAAACGAUGGAUACUAGGUGUUGCUUGUAUCGACCCGAGCAGUACCCCCCCGUAGCUAACGCGUUAAGUAUCCCGCCUGGGGAGGGGGUACGCACGCAAGUGUGAAACUCAAAGGAAUUGACGGGGGCCCGCACAAGCGGUGGAGUAUGUGGUUUAAUUUUUUUCGAUGCAACGCGAAGAACCUUACCAGGACUUGACAUGUCGCGAAUUUCGGUGAAAGCUGAAAGUGCCUUCGGGAGCGCGAACACAGGUGGUGCAUGGCUGUCGUCAGCUCGUGUCGUGAGAUGUUGGGUUAAGUCCCGCAACGAGCGCAACCCUCGUUUUUAGUUGCCAGCAUUUAGUUGGGCACUCUAGAGAGACUGCCGGUGACAAACCGGAGGAAGGUGGGGAUGACGUCAAGUCAGCAUGCCCCUUACGUCCUGGGCUACACACGUACUACAAUGCUACGAACAAAGGGCAAAAAGCGACACAGCGAUGUGAUGCAAAUCUCAGAAAUCGUAGCUCAGUUCAGAUCGCAGGCUGCAACUCGCCUGCGUGAAGUCGGAAUCGCUAGUAAUUGCAGGUCAGCAUACUGCAGUGAAUUCGUUCCCGGGCCUUGUACACACCGCCCGUCACACCAUGGAAGCUGGUAGUGCCCGAAGUCAUUACCCCAACCUUU